AAAACAUCUUCUCUCGUUUAUUUUUUUGAGAUUUGGCCUGCCCAAUGAGUAUUUAAUGGCCGCGGUAUUUUGACCGUGCAAAGGUAGCAUAAUCAUUAGUUUAUUAAUUGUAGACUUGUAUGAAUGGUUUCACGAAAUAUUAACUGUCUCAUUAUUAUUAAUUGAAUUUAAUUUUUAAGUUAAAAAGCUUAAGUUUUUUUGUAGGACGAGAAGACCCUAUAGAUCUUAAUUAGUUUUAAAUUUAUUUUAUUUAGUUGAUUUUUUUUUAAGUUUUUUAUUUAUUUGGUUGGGGUGACAUGGAGAUAAAUAUAACUCUUUAUUUUCUAUUACAUUGAUUUUUGAAUAUUUGACCUUUUAUUAUUGUUUAUAAGACAAGAUACCUUAGGGAUAACAGCGUAAUUUUCUUUAAGAGUUCAUAUCGACAAGAGAGAUUGCGACCUCGAUGUUGGAUUAAGAUUUACUUUAGGUGUAGAAGUUUAAUUGUUUAGGUCUGUUCGACCUUUAAUAUCUUACA
This 514-nucleotide ribosomal RNA is filed under the name Oreophoetes peruana. RNAcentral describes it as "partial 16S ribosomal RNA". It matches the Rfam family "Bacterial large subunit ribosomal RNA", at positions 1810 to 2600 of the family's 2925-position model. Lineage: Eukaryota; Metazoa; Arthropoda; Insecta; Phasmatodea; Diapheromeridae. The record is from RNAcentral.